Molecule: transfer RNA, 86 nt
Filed under: Winogradskyella sp. SYSU M77433
Lineage: Bacteria; Pseudomonadati; Bacteroidota; Flavobacteriia; Flavobacteriales; Flavobacteriaceae
Also listed under: 1 other name
Description: tRNA-Leu
Rfam family: tRNA
About the family: Transfer RNA (tRNA) molecules are approximately 80 nucleotides in length. Their secondary structure includes four short double-helical elements and three loops (D, anti-codon, and T loops).
Source: RNAcentral
ACCCGUAUGAUGAAACUGGUAAACAGAUCAGACUUAAAAUCUGAGGUGCAGAUACGCACUUGUAGGUUCGAAUCCUACUACGGGUA